Molecule: long non-coding RNA, 875 nt
Organism: Neofelis nebulosa (Clouded leopard)
Lineage: Eukaryota; Metazoa; Chordata; Mammalia; Carnivora; Felidae
Exons: 3
Source: RefSeq, a predicted model, not a curated record
GAGCCGCGUGCGCAGGCGCGCCGGGGCGGAGGCCACCUUGGGCCGCGUCGUCACGCGCCGUGGAGAGCGCUGGGCGGGCGGAGCCUUGUGGCCUGGAGUAGUGAAGUCGCCCCGCAGGUUUCCCAAGUCUCGCGUGAUCACUUGGUGGCCCCCCCACAGGCGGAAGUGUCCGACAGCUUUUUUGGGAUAAGGAGCUUUUAAAGUAUUGCUGGAAGCGACGAAUUUUGAGAGACACGCGGAAUGUAGUCUGGACAAGUGAAGGAGUUUAUCCUCAUAAAGCAAAACGAAAUGUCACAGUUAUAUGCCUCUGAAUGCAGAUUUGGAGAAUAUCAAAGGCAGCUUACCAGAGAGGAAAAUAUGCGACCUGCCAGGACCUGAAGGAAGAACUUAGAGAAAGCAGAGCCAUUAAUACUCAGAAAAUGGGAAGUUGUCGGAGAAGAAGGCAGAUAGAACCGGCCUUUAAGCUGCUGAGCAGGUAUUCCCUUUGGGAUGGCCAAUAUCGUUCCUUGUAUGGUAAGGAGACACCAAGAUAGAAAUAAGAAGUAGAAGUACAGAAUAUAAGCAGGAACAUAUGAAGGGAAAGAAGAUCGAGUGUCCCAGACUCUUGGAAUCAGAUUUAAUGCUCCCAACAUUAGAAAAAUAGGCCUUUCCCCCAUUUCUACCCUAGAGUCUUCUGCCUUUUAGAUCUGUUACAAUAUUGUAAUUAUCAAACUCUGAAUUUGGGGGGAGAGCUCAUAUACUAAAAGCUUAGUUUUAAAACAGCUUUUAAAAUUAUCUUUUCCACUUAUACUUCCUGUAAAGUCUGAAUUAAAGAGACAUGCAACUGUCUAUAGGCUUGAGGUAUAAAAAGAGCUCCCAAAUGCCCUGACAAAUGC